Molecule: non-coding RNA, 21 nt
Filed under: Arabidopsis thaliana (thale cress)
Lineage: Eukaryota; Viridiplantae; Streptophyta; Magnoliopsida; Brassicales; Brassicaceae
Source: RNAcentral
AGCUGUACCUUGCUGGAGCCC